GUCAUUCUCCUGAAGACACAGUGGCUGCGCAAGUACUUUAUCGCCUGGGCCUGGCAGAAGGAAUCAGACAUGGGAGGCAAAUCAGUCGGCUCUUCAGCAUUGAGAAUGCCAAGAAGAAGGCCCUGCAGCUUGAAGAUGAGGGAAAGGAGGAUUUGGACUUCUCUUGUAAUAUUCUAGUCCUUGGGAAGACAGGAGUUGGCAAAAGUGCUACUAUAAAUUCCAUUUUUGGCGAAGGCAAGUCUACCACAAGUUCAUUCAAACCAGCGACGACCUUCGUGAGGG
Molecule: unclassified non-coding RNA, 282 nt
Filed under: Hevea brasiliensis (rubber tree)
Lineage: Eukaryota; Viridiplantae; Streptophyta; Magnoliopsida; Malpighiales; Euphorbiaceae
Source: RNAcentral